Danio rerio (zebrafish) is the source of this 95-nucleotide microRNA precursor. Ensembl annotates it as microRNA let-7i. Its record names the gene dre-let-7i. Lineage: Eukaryota; Metazoa; Chordata; Actinopteri; Cypriniformes; Danionidae. The record is from Ensembl.
GUGUACUGGCUGAGGUAGUAGUUUGUGCUGUUGGUUGGGAUGUGACAUUGCCCGUUAUGGAGAUGACUGCGCAAGCUACUCCCUUGCCAGUGCUG